Molecule: non-coding RNA, 289 nt
Organism: Pelobates cultripes (western spadefoot toad)
Lineage: Eukaryota; Metazoa; Chordata; Amphibia; Anura; Pelobatidae
Source: the annotation of a GenBank genome assembly
AUGCAUUACACACACAGACACACAUACACAAGCAAUGCAACCGUUACACACAAUGCAUCCCUUACACACACAGAAACACACAAUGCAUUCAUUACACACACUCAAUGCACCCCUUACACACAUUCAAUGCAUCCCAUACAUACACAGAAACACACCUUGCAGCCCUUACACAUACAAUCACAAUUUCACACACUGCAUUCCUUACACACAUAUCAGGACAUCCCCUACACACUCCACCCCCUGUGAACAAACUCAUUGGUGGAACAUGAAGGUGGACCCUGGGACCCAG